This is a long non-coding RNA of Hordeum vulgare subsp. vulgare (domesticated barley), 886 nucleotides long. RefSeq lists it as uncharacterized. The transcript is spliced from 3 exons. The record is from RefSeq and is a predicted model, not a curated record. Lineage: Eukaryota; Viridiplantae; Streptophyta; Magnoliopsida; Poales; Poaceae.
CAGAGUUAAGUUUUUUUUGUCGGCAAUUGUGUGCCAAAGAAAUUGUUCCAAAACGGAUGCGUGAACUUGAGGAGGAGGUUCCUGUUCUAUUAUGCAAGCUUGAGAAAAUGUUCCCACCAGGCUUCUUAAAUGUAAUGCAACACCUGAUUGUGCAUCUUCCAUAUGAGGCAAGGGUUGCCGGCCCUGUGGCAUAUCGUUGGAUGUAUGUUUUUGAGAGGGCAAUGCACUAUCUUCGUUUAAAAGUGCGAAACAAGGCAAGAGUGGAGGGUUCAAUCGUUGAAGCUUGUAUUGUGCAGGAGAUCACGAAUUGUGUUUCUCUUUACUUUAGAGAUCAUGUUCGUACUAUAUGGAAGAAGAAUCCUCGGUAUAAUAACGGAGGAACACGCGUGCAUAAUGAUGGUUGUACCUUAGAUGUGUUUCAGCAUGAAGGAAACCUGCAUGGAAGGCGUACUGCCCGAGAACUAUCGUGUGAAGAGUUGAAUGCAGCAAGGCUGUACAUUCUGACUAACUGCUCUGCUGUUGAUAGAUUUCGAGAGUAAGUGAUGAAUAGUUUGCACUUCUACAAUUAUAGUUUGCAACAUAUUUAUUAUCAUACGCGGAUUUGCAGAGCGUUUGAGGAUGAAAAAUAUGCGAAGCAUCCCAACUUGACAACAGAGGGCCUUGAGAAAAUGAUGGCAUCUGAAUUCGUGGAAUGGUUCGAGAUUGCUGAUGGGCCGCUUGAGUCAUAGGCCUUUGUCAAUGCCUAGGACGAAUCGAUCUUCUUCUAGUGCCUCCGUAGGAAACAAUGGAUCAACUCAGUCAACUGCAAAGGCUAGAAAAGCUAGAACUCCAAGAACUAGGACUUCAGCCGGUCUCAGACUAGAGGAAAUUGAUCGACCGCUUAUAG